Molecule: ribosomal RNA, 253 nt
Filed under: uncultured bacterium
Lineage: Bacteria
Description: partial 16S ribosomal RNA
Rfam family: Bacterial small subunit ribosomal RNA
Source: RNAcentral
GACAGAGGGUGCAACCGUUGUUCGGAAUUACUGGGCGUAAAGCGCAUGUAGGCGGCCAAGCAGGUCGGAUGUGAAAUCCCUCGGCUCAACCAAGGAAGUGCAUUCGAAACCGCAUGGCUCGAGUCCCGGAGAGGAAGGUGGAAUUCUCGGUGUAGAGGUGAAAUUCGUAGAUAUCGAGAGGAACACCGGUGGCGAAAGCGGCCUUCUGGACGAGGACUGACGCUGAGAUGCGAAAGCGUGGGGAGCAAACAGG